CAGACGGUCCGAGCUGCAGACUGUCAGUCGAUGCCAACUGCACUGCAGAGAUGGAGAACAGACGUAUACAUUUGGCUUGUGGACGUUUCUGCCCCUACAUCGCAGUCAUCGCCGUUUUCAUCCUGUUUGGCAUCAACUUCGAAUGCACCCGCAAACCACAAGUCUUUGACUGCAACGUGUACCAGGCUCUACCAUUUUUCAUAGUUUUCCUGUUGAUUCUGUGGACAGACAGCUCGUUUCAGAGCGUCUGCAGACUCCUGUGCUCAGGUGUGCCCCGAGGCACACACACCCACACCUACAGUUUUUGGGGUUCUUUCUUCUAUCACAUUAUCAAGGCAGCGUUCAUCGGCCUGCUGUGGGUUGUUGUGGUUUUGAUCAACGGAAACUGGUACGUCUGCUGUCAGAACGAUGGCUCUGAACAACAGAGACAGUUGGCCUGCAAAGCCGUGGGGACGAUCACUGAAGAGGAACGAGUGACCAUCGCUGAACUGAAGAACAAGUCCAGGGUUAUUGGCUCCUUUCUGCUCUUUGUUAUCGUUUGUGUGCCAGCCCUGAUGGCGUCUCUCGGAUGGAGGAAAUGUUCCAGAAGGAAACAGUUUGAGAAACUGAUGUUAGAGGAGGAGGAAAAGGUGCUGAAGGAGGUUCUGAGGAAAUCAGCCAGAGAGCACCUGAGCAGAGCGAUUGAGGACAGAGUACGCAGGAGCCGAUGGGAGGAGUGUUCUGAUGUGGCUGCAGAUCUGAUCACAUCUGAAGAGAUCUUUCCUGAACACGAGGAGCGACAUCCUCCACGGGAGACAUGAGACCAGAGCGUGAAACCUCCAUGAUAAGCAGAACGAGACUAAACUCUGAUUAUGUUCCACAGAUGUGACGUCUGAGCCCAAAGAAUCAAAUCCAGCUGUUUACUGGCUCACAUGUAUGUAUGAGGAUUAGGGAUGCACCGAUACUGACGCCAGUAUCGGUCCGAUGCUGUGCGCAUGGACUCGUACUUGUAAUCAUAAAGUUACUCUGAUGAUACCACACCUGAUACCUCCUCAUAGCAACGUGGCGUUAACCCUUGUGUUGUCGUUGGGUCAAAUUUGACCCAUUUGAAAAAAUAAUUUAUAUCAGAAAUAUGGGUUUCUUUCAACCAAAUUGCAGAAAAUUAACAUGGGUGUAUGGAUAUAUGUUGUAUGGGUUCCAUAGAACAUUCUAUGCAGGUAAAAUUAAUGAUUACUUUCAUUGACUUGGGGUGUUCCAUUCAAUUUUAUUGCAUUUGAAAAAAAGGUUUUAAAUGGUUUUAAACCCGCAUCCUGACUAAACCUGGACAUAUACCAGUCUGUGUUCUACUCAACAUCCUCUGGUCUCGACUAUUAGUCAAAAUAAUUCAUAAUUUCAGAUUUUUUACCUCAAAAAUGAGGUAUAAUAUCAUAUAGAUUUGGUUUAUUGACCAUGAUACAGAAAGCUUUGAAAGCUUUUUUGACAAUUUUUUUUUUUAAAUUGCCAAAAGCAUCGCAAAAAAUGACAAACACGCUGGAAAUCAAUUAUUAAUUUUCAGUUUUGAAAGUUAAUGAUCAAGUUAAUGACAAGUUCAUUUUUCCAUCAUCAUUUAAAUGUUUUCCAGGCACAAGGCUGUUGUUUAGUAAAUCUAUCACUGACUAGUUGUUCUAGUUGACAACAAUAUCCGAGCAGGCCAAAAUCAUCUGUGUGUCUGAAAACACCCUCAGACCCCAGAGGGAUCAUUACAGUAAUUACCAAUAUUGGUACUCGGUACCGGUGAGUACCCAAAUGUAAGUACUUGUAUGUGUUUUUUUAAAAAGCGAUAUUGGUGCAUCCCUAGAAAUGAUGAUUUAGAUUUGCUUAGUUUAAAAAAGUUCUGUUUUCUGUUUUGAGUCUUCAUGAAAAAAACAAUCAUGCAGAACAAUUGAAUUGUUCUUUGUUUUUUAAUUCUAAAAUCAGCAUUUAAUGUACGCUAUGUUUAAUAAGAAAUCAUCAGUGUUGUUAGUUUCCAAACGAUAUUCCAAAAAUCUUCUCUUGUAAUCACAGAAUAGUAUUGUGUUUUACUGAAACAUAAAUCCUCCAUCUCUCUGAUUAUUACUGCUGUUCUGUCAAAUAAUAAAGUACAUUUAGGGACUGGUCGUUUUUUAUUUAAAUGCCUACCAGAGGAGUUUUGGGGUCUUUGGUCAAAAAAGACUUGACCCUCCCUUCGCCAAUAAUACAUUUUUCUACAACUGUCCAAAAUGAAUGGGGAAAAAAGGCAUGACCCUCCAACAUUUUUUAUGCAUUCUGUUAUGGCUUGCGCUUGGCUAAGAGGAACAGCCAGGGGGGUUCAUACUGAGAGAGCUACAUGGAGCUACAUGUGCACCAAACAAGCAACUUUGAAAUUUUGCUGAUUUCUGGGAUAGAAAAGUUGGGUGACCCACCCCACUAGACUAAAAAAAGUUGGAUGACCCUCCACUCAAAAAAGAAUAAAGAAAUAUGACCCUCCCCUAUUUUCCUCUGGUGGUCCAUUCCAUAAAAAUGCCAAACGGUCCCUUAAGCAAGUAGUAAUAUCUACUGUUAGUGAUGUUUUCAGCUACUCAUUUCACAUCUUAGAGACUCUAUACUCUAAACCUCUGAUGUUGCUAUUUUGUUUUUCUUUUACAGUUUGUGUACGAAGAUUUCUCUGAACUAAGUCCUAAUCAUUUUAGAUCUAAUCAUAGAUUAGAGGUAUAUUAUUGUAGUUUUGGUAGUUGAACCAACAGGCCUGUAGCUUCAGUGAGAAACUAAAAGCUGUUCACACAGUGUGCACUGCAGAGCUGGAGGAGCUGACACCUGCAGAAUAGAAAGUAUUCAGAACUCAACGCUGGUAUGAACCGACCACAAGAACAUGUGGUUUCUCUUUCUCAGGCCGACUCUUUCCUUCUUCAGCUGCGUCUCUCAUCAGUAUCCUGUUUGCAUCCUGUCACUGCAGCGCUGCUCACCUUCAUGUCUCUACUUCACAGUUUUACAAUUCUGUGAAAUUAAUUUUCACUAUGUAAUUAUUAGAAAAUAAAAAAGCAGCGGAGUAGUAACGACCAUUAAAUGAGUUAACUUAACUUCAUGCUUCAUCCACACAAAGCAAGUUGCUAUCGCCACGAGUGGCAGCUUUAUUCUGUCACGGCCCGCUGGCUGUGACCCUGGCCUCCUUCAUGCUAUGUGUGUGAACGUAGUUUUUGUGUUCUUUUUCUCCUUUUGUGUUUUGUUUUGGUGUCUGUCUCCGUGUUUUUGCUCUCUCCCACAUGCUCUGGAAACCAAUGGUGGGCGUGGUCACUCAGCUCCUGCCUACACACCUGUGGCUCAUCAGACUACUCAGCACUCCUGUUCCUCAGCAACCGUUUACUUCCUUUAUAAGCCAGGCCAACCUUCCAGUCCCCGCUGGAUCGUUAGCCUUACCUUUUCUGGUCACCUGGAAUAUUCCCUGCACCUCCGCCUAGCUGUCUACUUCACCAGUGUACUGGAUCUUCACAGACCCUCCAGCUGGAUCGCUUACACCCGCUGCUCCACCAGCUGCACUCGCCUGUUUUUUCCACAUACAAUAUCCAAAUAAAACCUCACCUUGUUCAUUCAA
Perca fluviatilis (European perch) is the source of this 3565-nucleotide RNA transcript. RefSeq lists it as uncharacterized. The transcript has 4 exons. The record is from RefSeq and is a predicted model, not a curated record. NCBI's taxonomy places the organism in Eukaryota, Metazoa, Chordata, Actinopteri, Perciformes, Percidae.